GAUGAAGAACGUAGCGAAAUGCGAUAAGUAGUGUGAAUUGCAGAAUUCAGUGAAUCAUCGAAUCUUUGAACGCACAUUGCGCCCCUUGGUAUUCCAUGGGGCAUGCCUGUUCGAGCGUCAUUUGUACCUUCAAGCUUUGCUUGGUGUUGGGUGUUUGUCUCACCUUUGCGUGUAGACUCGCCUUAAAAUAAUUGGCAGCCGGCGUAUUGAUUUCGGAGCGCAGUACAUCUCGCGCUUUGCACUCAUAACGACAGCGUCCAAAAGUACAUUUUACACUCUUGACCUCGGAUCAGGUAGGGAUACCCGCUGAACUUAAGCAUAUCAAUAAGCGGAGGA
RNAcentral lists this unclassified non-coding RNA (336 nucleotides) under soil metagenome. Its description in RNAcentral is "partial contains 5.8S ribosomal RNA, internal transcribed spacer 2, and large subunit ribosomal RNA". The stretch from base 1 to 120 matches the Rfam family "5.8S ribosomal RNA", at positions 35 to 154 of the family's 154-position model. The record is from RNAcentral.